RNAcentral lists this ribosomal RNA (482 nucleotides) under uncultured bacterium. Its description in RNAcentral is "partial 16S ribosomal RNA". It matches the Rfam family "Bacterial small subunit ribosomal RNA", at positions 30 to 507 of the family's 1533-position model. The record is from RNAcentral.
AUUGAACGCUGGCGGCAUGCCUUACACAUGCAAGUCGAACGGUAACGGGCCUUCGGGUGCCGACGAGUGGCGCACGGGUGAGUAAUACAUCGGAACGUGCCCGAUCGUGGGGGAUAACGAGGCGAAAGCUUUGCUAAUACCGCAUACGAUCUACGGAUGAAAGCAGGGGACCGCAAGGCCUUGCGCGGACGGAGCGGCCGAUGGCAGAUUAGGUAGUUGGUGGGAUAAAAGCUUACCAAGCCGACGAUCUGUAGCUGGUCUGAGAGGAUGAUCAGCCACACUGGGACUGAGACACGGCCCAGACUCCUACGGGAGGCAGCAGUGGGGAAUUUUGGACAAUGGGCGCAAGCCUGAUCCAGCCAUGCCGCGUGCAGGAUGAAGGCCUUCGGGUUGUAAACUGCUUUUGUACGGAACGAAAAGCCUUCUUUUAAUACAGGAGGGUCAUGACGGUACCGUAGGAAUAAGCACCGGCUAACUACGUG